GCCAUUGCUCUGCCUAGGGAGGGGGCUUCUUGCUUCCUUGUUUGGCUCCUUUGUUCAGACCCGGGCUCAGCGUGGGAGGCGCUGCCCAGAAAUUCAAGACCUGAAGUGGCCAACUAAUUAAGCAUAUGAGUCAUACCUGUGGCCCAGAACAUGCCCAUGCA
Gopherus evgoodei (Goodes thornscrub tortoise) is the source of this 161-nucleotide long non-coding RNA. RefSeq lists it as uncharacterized. The transcript has 4 exons. The record is from RefSeq and is a predicted model, not a curated record. NCBI's taxonomy places the organism in Eukaryota, Metazoa, Chordata, Testudines, Testudinidae.